UGUUAGCUAGGUAGCAUGGUUAGCGAGUAUUAGGUUAUGAUCUCCUUUCUGCUAGAAGGGUAGAACCACAUUAACCUUCUAUUGUGCCAUAUUUGUGGCACGGCGUUAUAACUUUUACAUUUCUUGAUCUUAAAAUAAAGAUGCACAAAUCUUUUGUGAGAAAAAACUAUUGCAUUCCAUCUAUAUAUUUUGUUAAAAUAGACGAUUUUAUUGCCCACACAUAAUGCUAUAAUCAGGAGGAAAAAUCAAGGCAUUUAUAUCAAAAGAUAACAGGCGAAUUUAAAUGCGUUAUUAUUGUUCAAGCAAAGGAGGCCCUCGAUCACGCCUUGAUAUUUGAUAAUAUAAUGCAGUCAUUAGUACUGCCAAAUACUCCUGUAUAAUAUGCGAUUGGAAUUUACUAACGGAAAUCAGUAAAUUAUUUGCCGCGACAGUUGCCAAAUCGAAGCCAUUUCCACCACCGCACUCUCCCUUAUUUAAAGGCUCCCUCCCUCUGUACAUUCCACACCAGCCACUCCAUCAUCACCCUUCACUCAUCAGCCAUGGUGCUCACCAUGGCCACCGGCCAAGAGGACUCCCUCCUCCUGCUCCUCCUCCCCACCACCUCCCCACUCCCGCCCCUCAUGGCCGUGUUCAUCCUAGCCGCCGUCCUCCUGUGGCUCUCCCCCGGUGGUCCUGCGUGGGCGCUCUCCCGCUGCCGCCGCCCGCCGUCCGGCCCAACGGGCGUGGUCACCGCGCUCUCAAGCCCCGUGGCGCACCGCACCCUGGCGGCGCUGUCCCACGCCGUAGACGGCGGCAAAGCACUGAUGGCCUUCUCGGUCGGGCUCACCCGCCUCGUCGUGUCGAGCCAGCCCGACACGGCGCGAGAGAUCCUCGUCAACCCCGCGUUCAGCGACCGCCCCAUCAAGGACGCGGCUCGCCACCUGCUCUUCCACCGCGCCAUGGGCUUCGCGCCCUCCGGAGACGCGCACUGGCGCGGGCUCCGCCGCCUCGCCGCCAACCACCUGUUCGGCCCGCGCCGCGUGGCGGCGGCCGCGCACCACCGCGUCUCCAUCGGCGAGGCCAUGGUCGCCGACGUCGCCGCUGCCAUGGCCCGCCACGGCGAGGUCUCCCUGAAGCGCGUGCUGCAUAUCGCGUCUCUCAACCACAUCAUGGCCACCGUCUUCGGCAAGCACUACGACAUGGACAGCCAAGAGGGCGUCCUUCUGGAAGAGAUGGUCACCGAGGGCUACGACCUCCUGGGCACGUUCAACUGGGCUGACCACCUGCCGUUGAUCAAGCAUCUCGACCUCCAGGGCGUGCGCCGCCGGUGCAACAGGUUAGUCCAAAAGGUUGAAGUGUUCGUUGGAAAGAUCAUCCAGGAGCACAGGGCGAGGCGCGCGAAUGGAGGAGUCGACGAUGAGUACAUGGGUGACUUCGUCGACGUCCUUCUUGACCUCGAGGGAGAGGAGAAGCUGUCCGAAUCCGACAUGAUCGCUGUUCUUUGGGUAAGAUCGAUCGAGUUUAGAAAUGUUUGCUGUGUAACUAAAAUGCACGUUCUUUCAGAUCUUAAACGUUACGUUCAUGGAAAAAUUUCCGGUCGUUUUUGUUUCGAUCAGGAGAUGAUCUUCAGAGGCGCCGACACUGUGGCGAUCUUGAUGGAGUGGAUCAUGGCGAGGAUGGCGCUGCACCCUGAAAUCCAGUCCAAGGCCCAGGCGGAGCUGGACGGCGUCGUCGUGGGCGGCGUGGCGGACGCCGACGUGGGCAACCUCCCCUACAUCCAGUGCAUCGUGAAGGAGACGCUGCGGAUGCACCCUCCGGGCCCGCUCCUGUCGUGGGCGCGCCUCGCCAUCCACGACGCGCACGUCGGCGGCCACCUGGUCCCCGCCGGCACCACGGCCAUGGUGAACAUGUGGUCCAUCGCGCAUGACCCCGCCAUCUGGGCAGAGCCGGAGAAGUUCCGCCCCGAGCGCUUCCAGGAGGAGGACGUGAGCGUCCUCGGGAGCGACCUCCGCCUGGCCCCGUUCGGCGCCGGACGCCGCGUCUGCCCCGGCAAGAUGCUGGCCCUCGCCACCACACACCUCUGGAUCGCCCAGCUGCUGCACGAGUUCGAGUGGGCACCCGCGGCCGCCAACGGCGGCGUCGACCUGUCCGAGCGCCUCAACAUGUCGCUGGAGAUGGCCACGCCGCUGGUGUGCAAGGCCGUCCCCAGGGCCCAGCUGGCCUAAGCUGCCGCCUCCAUGCAUGCCGCCCUGCUGAGAGAGAGUCUCGUUUUCGUUCGCGUACGUGUCUAUGCAUGCACGCCUCAGCUACUGUAGCUUGUGGCUUGCUAGUGUGUUUUGGAUGUCCUGCGUCGAGACCACCAAAAUAAUAAUAGUAAUGAAGUUUUAAGUUUUGAUAUUAUGACGCGCCAUGUUUUAUGUUAUUGGUGGUUUCUCAAUUCUCAUUGGCGGAUGCAAUGCAUACAUAUGCCUUCUAAUGGACUCCUAUAUGGUACCAUGGCUGCAUGCAUGCAAUGCAAGGAGAAAUGGUGUGUUCCGUCCUAACGAACUGUAGAACACUUGUACUGUGUGUGUUCAUGCCACUCGUUCCGUCGUCCCAACUAGAUCGUUAAUCUUAGUCUAUGCAUGCAUGAUGCAUUGGAGGUUGUUUUUUAUGAUCUUCCAGAUAUAAUUUUUCUUAUGUGAUCUGAAUCUUGCUUGGAAUAAAAAGCGCACUAAACGUGAGAUAAGACAGGCCAAUUGGCAAAGCACCGAAUGAUUCGCCCGAGCUUGAAACGGUUUCAGUAUCGGCGCAAAUGGUUUUGGCCUCUGCAUGUUUGUCAGAUUGGGUGCUAUCUUUCAGCCAAAGGGUAAAAGAUUAUUGCACGAAACAGAUGAAGCUGGUGUUGGAGUCAACUCUAAUACUGGUAUACUGCCGAGAGAAGAUUAGCACAGUUUAUUGAUUUAUUGUGAGAGAAUGACCACGAACUUGUGGAGAAUUGUAAAUCCCUUUUUCUGCGUUCCCAGUUUCAGCACCUCGAUGUCUAGUCACACUCAGAUCACGAUCAUCUUCGAUAUGUGCCAACAGAUCAGAAAUCAACCUGGUCAUAGAUGAAGAUUCGACCAAUGCGAGCUGACGCAAGCAGGUGCUGUUCAAGAGCGGUGAGGUCAACGCCUAUACUUUUCAGAUAUGUGCUCUGGUGCUGCAGCUGCCGUCAGGGCUACCACAAGAAACGCAGUAAUCGAAGUCAAACACGGGGGGACACCGAUCACUGUUUCGUCCAAGGAAACAGAGAGCUGGGUGCAGAGUAAUUUUUUUCCCCAACUGAUCACCCGAAGCGAUCUGUUUCUUUCGUGGAAGCAGCGAUCUGUUUGACUAUUUCACAGUGUUUCGUGUUUGCCUGUUUGUUUAUUCGUCUGAUUUAUUAUAAGAUAAAAAAAUAUUGCUGAAUGAUUAACAGAUUCGAUAAAUAAGUUUAAGUGAACAGGUCUUAAGGUGCAGCUAGCUAACCGUGGGAGAUGAAUGGAUGGACCUCACUAUCUCAACCAGGUGUAGCUUGUCGACCAUAGUUUUCUGUACCUCGCCGGCCUUUUUAUGGGAGGGUGCGGGCACCCUUGACUCCAUCUCCCUGUGAAUCUGCUCUUUAGAACCUGAUCACCAAAACGAUAUGAUUCCACGUCCAUUUGCAAUCUAAAGAACGAGGCGAUACGAUUCCAGCUUUCACCUGUCUUUGCUUUUGUAAGAUCCAAAUCUGCACGGUAUAAGUGAUGAGAUGAGAUACGCGAAAGCUGUGACAUUGCCACCAACGGGAAGAAAGAUGCUAACGUCUCUGACGAGAAACGGAAACGUCCAAAUCCAAACGUGUUUUUUGGUACUAUGCAGCUUGCACGACGACCCUGAGGCACGGUAGUACUGGUACAGCAGAGAAGCUAAAACUUGUGGGCGCGCCAUGCCGCCAUGCAUGCAUGGUCUCGUCCCGUCUCGUCUCAUCAUUGGCGCAGGCAGGCCGCAGGAUGUGCAGACGGAGGUGUGGGCGGUGGUACCAUCAGAGCUGGCGGUGGCAGAUCUCGCCGCCGAUGUCUGCGUUGGUCACGUCCUCGAUCAGUCAGUUGAGUCAUCGGUGAAACCGAGCUGGUGCUGGUGGGUCCGGGUGGAUCAGUGCAUCGCAUCGGCCGCUGGCGAGAUGAGUGCGUAGUCGAUCGGAUGCCACGGGAACGGGCGCCGCCGGACACGACGGCAUGGGCACGCCCGCCUCCGUCCGUCUCUCAGCCGCGGCGGUGCACGUUGCAACGGCUUGGCGGCGGCCUGUCGCGGCUCGCUACAGUCCCGUCCCAGGAAUUCGACCACGCGCGCGCCGCAAGCGGGACGUGGUACCGGUACCGUGGGUGCCGCCGCCGCGCGCGGCUUCUUUCUGCGCGGACGUUUCCUGCUGGCCUGCUGCUGCUGCUGCUGCCGCGGGCGCGCUUCAAGCCGGGUAUACUACUGUUCGACAGCUUCGUCGCGCGGCCCAGAAAGCCCCGACUUGAUUGGUACGAGGCCCAGAAGCCUGGUCGUGGUUGGAGACCAGUCAGUCGCCGACCUGACAUCAGGCGCGCGCUCCUAUCAUCGUGGGCUGAAUUGGACUACGGGAGCUGUGUAGCACAUCUGUUUCGAAAUCUUUCUUUUUCCCCAAACACGCAUGUAUAUAUACACGUACAACUACACGCGCAACUGUUUUAGAAUUUCCUUACAUGUAUGCAUGGUAAAAUUCUUAUGUGGGAUUUGAAAAGAGGCAUGUGACACUUUUUUUAGAACAUGGUACAUAUAUUUCACUAAAAAGAGAAAAAGUUAUUACAGCGACUAUUAGAAAAGAAAAGGCAAACAGAAGGGCAAAGGACAACUACUAUUGAAUAACAUUCACAAAAUGAAUAAUGGACUUUGAAAUGACAAAAGGAAUCCGCUCAUGAUCAUUUAAUAGAGCUAAAAAUAGGGAAUGUCGCAACCACAUAAGGUCCGUCUCAAUGGCAAGUUUCAUUACCCAGAUUCCAAGACUGCCACGUCAGUUUUACAUAAUGGCCUUAUUUAGUUGGCAAAUUUUUUUGUUUUUGGUACUGUAGCAUUUCGUUUUUAUUUGACAAACAUUGUCCAAUCACGGAGUAACUAGGCUCAAAAGAUUCAUCUCACAAAUUACAGGUAAACUGUGCGGUUAGUUUUUAUUUUCGUCUAUAUUUAAUGCUCCAUGCAUGCGACCAAAGAUUCGAUGUGACGGAUAAUCUUGAAAAUUUUUGCGAACUAAACAAGGCCUGAAUUGAGGAGUGAAACUGACUCUCUCAAUGUACAAUUUCCUUUCACAUUUUCAUAGGCAAGCUGCAUCAUUUAAUUACUAUACGGUGCUGUGAUCUAAUGUGACAUGUAAAUUGUGUAGCCUGAAAUUUUAUCUAAACCAAACAUAGUCAGUUUGGCAAAGAAAUGUGUUUUAUAACCUUUUGUAUUUCUUAUCGGCAAAUAUACGCAUAAACUUUUCUAGAAGCUAUUCUUUAAUCAAUCCUAUGUGCAAACGGACAAAGAUCAACGGGCAAAUCAAAAUCAGUGUGUUGUCUCUGUACUCAUGUAGUACGAACUAAUUAAAUCCGGGUAUGAACUUACCGGAUACUGCAGAUUCGAUGAUUGAUUUCCUUGUGGUCACUGAGUUGCAGCCGGCGUCCGUGGAGAGAGAGAUGAGGUAGAGUCCCGGGCGUCCUUCUUUCUUUGGUGAUACAUUGCAGGCAUGGCUCCUUUCGCACGGCAACUUCACCCUAUCGCACCCCGUCGAAGCCCCACCGUGCGUAGAUUCAACUCUACCUUGCGCCUACCCCGCGACGAUUUCAGCCGACAAGCACCGACUCAGAGCCGAUGGCCCUCUGCCCCACAUCGAUUCAGCCAUGCAUCUCGGUGGAAGCAGGGCGCCAUCCACAGCUCUCAACGGAUCCAUGGUGCUGAAUCUAGACCUGGUGUCGCCGGAGCUCCCAACCUGCUCGCCUCUGCUGUAUGGGAAGGAUGGCGCGCACCUGGAGCACGCGACGGGAAGGAAUCAGUUGCGGUGCGGGAGAGAAGUCAGAGUCGCACGCCUGGAGCAUGAGAUCGCUCGGAUGAAACUUUCUCCCUCAACGCUGGUUUCACGCGCUUUCCAAGUUGUUGGAAACGGUGCACGCUCGUUUCGUGGGGAUGAAACGUAUCCCCUCUCUCUCCUACUACUUGUUUCAUGCAAAAAUUCCAAAUCUGUUCAUGUGGCACCAUAUUUAAUGUGUAUAAAACUCCUCGUGAAACCCCAUUGAGACUGACCUAACAAACAAUGUGUCUUUUUCCCACCAUCUCAAUUGUUGGAUACACCUUAGACCAUGCCAACGCUUAUAUUAUUGUGGUCUCGUCAGGGCACAUAGACUCAGAUGUCAUGUGAAAUAAAAAAAUUACGAGUACACUAAUUUUGCAAGCUAUCAACGAAUCUUAUAGGAGCUCUCAUGGCUUCGCCUCAAAAAAAUGAAGAGUACAACUUAUUUAUCAAACUUCUUGACAACUAAACAAAGUCGGUGUAUGUCAAAUGACAACUAUUCUAUAAAUAAAGCAGUUUUGGCACAAUUUGCUCAUUAUAACAAAUAGAACAAUCAUGUUGGUUUUAGAGCUCGUUUAGUUGCUGCUCGUAAAAUGCCACGCCACAAUUGGGCUACGCUGUAAAAAUCUUAGCUCUCUUAUUUGGUUGAUGAUCAAUAUAGGUGUAGGCAGUCACAACAAACAUCAGUCAUAACAAGCUAGAUUCAGUCACACUUUACGACGAUGAUCUUUUGCGUCUACCAUUGUGCCAUAUCUAGAGGCACAUGGUGGCCUAGUACAACUAUCUAUAUUCCCUUUGUCCCGUUUUAAUAGUCAUUUUAGUUUUCAAUGAGGUACAAUAAAAAUUCUCUAAACCAAGACGGUGAUGUGUCUAGAUGGAUGAUUCUAUGAUCCUAGACACUUAAAUAAUGUGCGAGUGAGGCCUUGUUUAGUUCCCAAAAACUAAAAACUUUUCAAAAUUCUCUGUCACAUUGAAUCUUGCGGCACAUGUAUGGAGCAUUAAAUAUAGACGAAAACAAAAACCAAUUGCACAAUUUGCAUGUAAAUCGCGAGAUGAAUCUUUUGAGCCUAGUUAGUCAAUAAUUAGACAAUAAUUACCAAAUAAAAACGAAAGUACUACAAUACCCAAAACUAUUUUUUUUAAACAAAACAAUUCCUGAGACAAAGGAACUAGUUUAUUUUAACAUACUUUACUUAAAAAAAUGAGAAAGGGAGAUGAAAAUCUACUAGCUAUUUUUUAUGAAGAGAUAAACACGCACACUUUCUAAUAAUUCAUAUGACUAUAUUUACACAAGCUUUUAUAUUAACAAUGUUAUUUUCUAAUAAUGUCAAUAUUGAAGAUACCCUAGACGUACUCCCAAUGGUAGUAGGAGAGAAAAUCAUGGUACUCUCUGUGUCUUAACAUAAAAAUUAAUUUUGCUUAAAUCAACUUCUCUUAAGUUUCCUCUGUACCAAUAAAAAAAGUUGUUUUGGACAAUGACACGGUCUUCAAAAGCCUAACUUUGACUUUUUGUUUUUAUAAAAAUAUUCAUCAAAAAGUCAUAUAUGUAUAUUUACAUAAAAAUAUUUUUCAAGAUAAAUCUAUUCAUAUAGUUUUCACAUUUCAAAACUCGACAACUUAAAAGUUAUUUAUAAUUUAUAUUUACAAUAUUUUGACUCAAAGCUUGUCCAAAAUAAUUUUUUCUUUAUAGUUAUGAAGGGAGUAUAAAAAUAUUAAUAUUUAUAAUAUAUAAUUAGUAUUAUUGGAUAGAUCAUUAAAUAUACCACUAUAAUAAAUUUAUUUGGAGAUAUAAAUGUGGUAGUAUUUUUGUAUCUUGGAAAGACGCUGCACUCAUGGCCCACACGCAGGGUCAGCUGUCAACACCGGUCAUCGUCGUCGCCGAAUAGCCACAGUCCCACUCCCAGCGGCCCGUCCCUUUCCCCCUUCCGCGUCGCCGUCGCCGCGAUCCGGCCGAAGCAAAGUUCCCACGCACUCGUUCCUAUCCCCUUGCGCCGGCGUGGGUCGCGCAGGAAGCGGAGCUGACAGCUGAGCCACCGGUAUCAGAUAUCCAGGCCAUGAUGAUUUACGGGUCGCACUCUCACCAACCACCUUUGACCAUAUAUUUAUUAGGAAUAGGGAGGUCGGAGGCGGAUGCGUGGGUUAGUGAGGGACUCGGAUCAGCAGCAGUCGAUCAGGAGGCCGGCCGGCCAUGGAGGAGGGAGGCGAGCACACGAGUCUUCUGGUCAAGGUACGGCGAACCUGCUGUCGAUUGGUCUCCGCCGAAUCGGAGCUAGCUCUUGCUUGCUUGCCGCUGAAUGGUUUAUUUGCUGGGUUUGGGGAUCGCGCUCGCCAGGAGCAAAAUUGGGUGCUAGAACCGCGUGCCUUUGUAUUGUCUCCCAAAAGCGGCGGUUUGGGCAACCAAGUUAGGGGCUAUGAGUCUAGAACUGUUGAACAGGCUGACGGGCAUCUGAUCGUGAGUCGUGAGUUCGUGACAUGCAUGCAUAGUAGUGAAUUGGCUGCACAACUGUAGAUCGUGCAGUAUGCACAGAUGUGUAGUACAUGGAAGUCGUUGCUUGUAAGUCUGGGAUGUGAAAAUGAAGGGAAAUGAUUGCAAAAUUUCUUGCUUACAUUGACUUUACAAGAUGAUUGGACUUAAUUACAGAAAGUUGUCAGAUAAAACUGUCGAAAAUUUGUUUACUGUGAGAAACAUUAUGGUCUCAUAUGUUAAUACCUGGCCUUCCUUUAGGAUGAUGCAUCAUGUCAUGGCGAGGAAACACAAAGUAUAUUGGAAGCAAAUCUAGGGCCACAGCUGAAAAGUAAAUGCUCUGACUGGAGAGCACCGGCACUCAUCCUGGGUGAGUCAUGCAGUGUCAAUAUGUUCUCUGAAACUGUCUGAUAUCCAGCUCGUGUAUAGAGCACCUAUCACUCUUUUACAUUAUUUAGUGUGAUUUCUUAUGAGAUGCUUGUUUGUUUAUUUUUUCUGGCCACUGGUAUACAAAGAGUGAUAGGUGCUCUACACACGAGUUGGUAUUCUUCUAUGGUUAGCUGAUCCAUGGUUAGCGUAUCAAUUCUAGCCACAUUUCCUAUAAUUAGACUAUUUAUGGUUAUCUGAUCAAUUCUCGGGGUGAUAUUCUUCUUGAUUCUGUGACUAAGAGACUGCAUUCCUUGACCGGGAGGAUGUUAAUCAGUUCAAAUCCUGCAGGAUUGGAAUGCUUGGAGAGCAUGGCUUUUAAUGGCAUUGCCACAAACCUAGUCGUGUAUCUCCGUUCGGUCCUCCAUGGUGGUAUUGCUUCCAGUGCAUCAACAGUAUCUCUUUGGUACGGGACAAGCUUCUUUGUGCCAAUGCUUGGAGCCGCCAUAGCAGAUACUUGCUUGGGAAAUUAUAAGACCAUCCUGAUCUCCCUUAUCAUGUACCUAAUUGUAAGAUAUUUUUUCCUUCUCAGCUGCUUGUUCUUAUUCAGCUCUUUUCGUUUCGAGUUUGGUAUACUAUUUUGGAUUAGGAUGCAAAGUCUCUCUCUCUCUCUCUCUCUCAUAAAAUGCCAAUGCUGAUUGCAGGGAAUGGUACUGAUUACAGUUGCAACAUUUCUGCCUUCUACUUCAAUCUUAUGCGACGCCAGCUCAUGCUUGUCAUCAAAUGGAACUCAAACCGUGAUUUUCUUUGCUGGUUUGUAUCUCACUGCUGUUGGAUGUGGAGGCGUAAGAUCUGCAUUGCUUCCAUUUGGUGCGAGCCAGUUCAACAACGAGAACAAUUUAGUAGACAUAAAAAGGAGAAGAAAUUUCUUCAGUUCAUUCUAUAUAUGUGUCAUCUUUGGUGUGAUUACUUCUGGGACAAUUAUAGUUUGGGUUCAGGAAAAUGUGAGCUGGGCUAUAGGAUAUGGAGUUGCCACUACAUGCAUAGGUCUUGCUUUGAUAGGAUUUCUGGUGGGGACACCAAUAUUCCAACAAGAUGAGCCUUGUGGUUCUCCAGUGAAGAGUAUUUUCCAGGUUAUUGUUGCCUCUUUUAGGAACAUGAGCUUGGAAGUACCUGCUGAUAGCUCUCUUCUGUAUGAGGUCAGGAGCAACCACGUACAAAGGACAAUACUUGCUCACUCCGAUGAUUUUAGGUACAUCUUUUUUCGUUACUUACCAUGAGACACUUGUAUAUAUGGUAUUUUUUUCUUGUUUCUCCUGAUCAUUUUUUAAAAUCUUCUUGAAGCAAUCAUGCCACUGGUGGUCAAUUGUUGAUUUCUUAAUGAUUUCUGGAGUACCCAUCAUAUAUAUACUUUCAGGAUGUUCAGUCUACAAAAUGUAUAUCUCUAUCUCAUGGAUCCCAUGAUUUGAACCUAGUAAUAAAUAACUGUUCCUGAAACAUGAAAACCAAUGAGAAUUACCUUUUCAUUUGGUUGGUGUUCCCAACUUCCCUUUCUAUUCUGCACUUAUUUAACUAUCUGUCUAAUUCCAUCAUUUUGUCUCAGGUUCUUAGAUAAGGCAGCAGUUAUUUCUGAUCCAAGCUUGGUGUAUGGAGGGUGUCGAAGCUCAUGGAGUUUAUGUACGGUUACUGAAGUUGAGGAACUGAAAAUACUUAUCCGCUUACUCCCAAUAUGGGUGACUGGAAUAUUCUUUGCUGCUGCGAUCUCUCAAAUGCACACCACUUUCAUUCAGCAGGGAGCUGUGAUGAACACCAAGAUUGGUUCCCUGUCCAUUCCACCAGCAUCCUUGUACUCAUUUGAAGUGAUAUGUGUCACGCUCUGGGUACUUUCUGUGAACAAAGUGCUUGUGCCGGCAACCAGAACGUAUUUUGCAAAUGGAGCAGAGCUCACACAGUUACAGAGGAUUGGAAUUGGUCGUUUCUUGAUGAUCUUUGCCAUGGCAAUGGCCGCACUUCUAGAAACCAAGAGGCUGCAGAGUGUUCAGGAGGGGGAACUGCUAAACAUUGUAUGGCAGCUUCCACAGUACUUCGUCAUUGCUGGGGCUGAGUGCUUCGCUGUCAUCACUCAGCUAGAGUUUUUCCAUGGCCAAGCGCCAGACUCCAUGAAGAGCAUAUUAACGGCAUUCGCGUUGCUCACCACUGCCCUUGGGAAUUACUUGAGCUCAGCUAUCAUCACCCUCAUUGCAGGGGUGACCAGGGUAUGGCAUAGUCCUGGAUGGAUACCGGAUGAUCUGAACAAGGGACACCUUGAUUACUACUACUGGUGUCUUACAGCCCUCUCGUUGGUGAAUUUUGUUGUGUAUCUGUAUUUUGCUAGUAAAUACAAAUUGAAGAAAGUUGUUAUCUGCUAAUACUACUUGUGAAAUAUCACCGAGUGUAACAUAUGAAAUGUUUAUUUUUAUUCUUAACAUGUAUAGCAGUAUAGGCCAUGGAAGGACCUUAUUUCCCCAACAUAUCGUCCCUUGUUUUUCUCGUAGCGAUGUGUGAAUGCUAGGAGAAAGAUACAUAUUGUCUGUAGUAACUAUUAAUUCUCUGUUCUUAUGCUGGAGGGAUCCGUUGAUUGCUUCAUUUAUAUACGAAUGUAAUACUGAUUUGCUGGUGAAAGAAGUUUGGUGUAAACAUAAUUUUGUUAAAGCAUCCAGGAUUUUGGAACAAAACCACUAUAUAAUUGAACUAUGGUAUGACCUGUUGGUGGGACGGUGCUGGUUAUUGAUCUUUAAGUUCCAUUUUUGUUUUUUAAUGAAGAUGAAAUUGGAGUUCCAUCUCGACCUCUCGAGUUGACAGGGAAGAUUUAGUUGAUUGCUUCUACGUUAUUUUAGUUUAGUCAUAAAUUAAACUUUUUCAACUUUAACUAAGUUUUUGGAAAAAUACAACAUCCACAACAUUGAAUUAGUUUUGUUAAAUCGAGGUUAAAUAUCUUACCCUCACAAAAACGUUAAAAAGUACUUCCUCUAUCCUUAUAGCUGUCGUUCUCGUUUUUCAAGAAAUAAUUUUGACUAAUUUAUAUAAAUUAUUAAUAUUUAUGGUGUAUAAUUAAUAUAAUUAAUAUUAUUAGAUAGAUCGUUGAAUUUAUUUUCAUAAUAAAUUUAUUUGGAGAUAUAAAUAUCGCUCGUAUUUUAUACAAAUCUAGUCAAACUUACAACGUAUAAGCAAAAAAUGACAGCUAUUGAGCAUGUCGAUAGUACACUUAUUUGUUAUUGUAGACCGACAUUUGUUAUUUGCUAUACUUAUUUGUUAUUUUUGUCAAUAGUAGCAAAACUUCAUCACUAACCAUAUAGUACUCUCCAUGAAGCCAUCCUGACCGUCCGAUCUCAGAUCGGCCCUUGACAUUACCCUUGACGCGUUUAGACCUCGGCAGCAGAGACCGCAGAACCGAACAUCGCAAGUCCCAAACCCUCCCCCGAUCUCCGCCGCUCCAAAAUGUGGCGCCGCCAGCUCUUCCGCCGCCUAUUCCCAUCUCCGGCCACCGGUGGCACCGCCGCGCCCCCUUCGCCUUUCCUGCGCCACCUAUCUACCUCAAGCACCCCGACCCCGGCCGCCUCCCUCGCCUCCUCCCUUGCGUCGGCGCUCACCGCGCUCUCCACGACCCCGCCGCCCGCCACCACCCCGGACGCCUACUUCUCGCUCCACUUCUCCGACGUGCGCCCCACCAACGCGCUCCUCGCCGAGGCGCUUGCGCUCUCCCCGCCCGCCACCUCCCGCGCCGCUGCCGAGCUCUUCCGCUUCCUCGUCCGCCGCCGCUCGCUCCACCCCUCCGACGGCGCGCUCGCGCCCGUCGUUCGCCACCUCGCUCGCCGCCGUGACUUCCCCGCCGUGCGCGCGCUCAUCCAGGAGUUCCCCACCGCUCUCGGGCCCGCCACGCUCGACGCCUAUCUUCAGCAGCUCGCCAGAGCCGGGCGACCGACGGACGCUGUAAAGGUGUUCGACGAAUUGCCGGAGCAACUCCGUAACCGCGAGGCUCUUACUUUGCUGGUCUCCGCCCUUUCUGCCGAGGGAUUCCCCUCGCACGCAGAGCGUGCUGCCAAGAAGGUCGCCAAUGAGAUCUUCCCGGAUGACAAUAUCUGCACUUUGUUGGUAUCUGGCUAUGCCAAUGCUGGUAAGCUCGACCAUGCACUCAGGUUGAUUGGUGAGACACGUAGGGGUGGGUUCCAGCCAGGAUUGGAUGCAUACAAUGCUGUUCUUGAUUGUGUGUGCCGGCUCUGUCGCAAGAAGGACCCACUGAGGAUGCCUAUGGAAGCUGAGAAGUUCUUAGUUGACAUGGAAGCCAAUGGCAUUCCCCGUGAUGCAGGGACAUUUCGGGUACUGAUCACAAAUUUCUGCAAGAUCCGUAAGACAGAGGAUGCCAUGAAUCUGUUCCGUUGUAUGGGUGAGUGGGGCUGCUCACCAGAUGCUGACACAUACUUGGUGCUCAUCAGGAGCUUGUACCAAGCUGCCCGGACUUCAGAGGGUGAUGAGAUGAUGACAUGGAUGCGGUCUGCAGGAUUUGGAGAUAAACUUGAUAGGAAGGCAUACUAUGGAUUCAUCAAGAUUUUAUGUGGGAUUGAUAGGGUUGAGCAUGCUCUCAAGGUAUUCCGUAUGAUGAAAGGUUAUGGCCAUGCUCCUGGAGUAAAAUCAUAUAGCUUGCUCAUUGAGAAGCUGGCUAGGCACAAUUUAGGGGAUCGUUCCAGUGCACUGUACAGGGAGGCAGUUGCACGUGGUGUACCUGUGGCUCAAGGAGAGUAUAGUAUUGACAAAAGGUAUGUCAAAGCAAAGAAGGAGAAGAAGGUGAAGAAGAGGCUGACUUUGCCGGAGAAGAUGAGAUUGAAGAGCAAGAGGUUAUACAAGCUCAGAAUGAGCUUUGUCAAGAAGCCCAAGCGUCGAAUGGUCCGCGUUUAAGCAUAAUUUUUGGUAUUCUCAUAGCCAUGCUGAUUUCAUUACUCGUUCGUAAUACUAUCUUUGCUUCAGCAUUUGCCACAUCGAUGGUGAUCUUUUCUAAGAACCAGUUUGUCAUUCUUUGUUAAUCAUUUUGUCCUGUGCUGCUGCCACUAUAUCUUCAUCACACUUUAAUUGUAGAAGCACAAUAAAAUCAGUGUGAUGCUGAAUAUUGCUGUAAAGUCAAGAAAAUCUAGGAAGAAAGUUUUUUUUUUGAAUGGGGGAAGUUAGCAUGUAUUAGUCUAAAUUGGGUAGUUUCACUUGGAUUUUUCCGAUCCAGUAACGACUAACCAUUAGAUCAUCGUUAUAACAUGUAAAUGAGUGUAGUUUCUUAGGAAUUUUUAGGUGUCCUCAACAUUGCUUUGCCAUAUUUUUUUUUUGUCAAACUGGCUAUUUUGUUGUUUGUUUAAUCCUCUGAAGCAGUUGCCUACAUAAUAAAUAUUAAAUAUUGGCACAAUAAAAAAGAAUCGUCUGUUCUUCUGUGUGUGUCUUGGUGUGUUCUACUUUAAGUUCUCUUCUUAAUGCAAUGACAUGCAGCUCGCCUGCGUAUUUGACAAAAAAAUGAUUUGUGGUCAGAGGCAGAUACUUGGUAAAAUGAAUACUAGAAAUUUCAUGCAAACCAAGAUGCACUACUUACAAACCAAGAUCCAACUUUCUGUAUUGUAUCGUAUAUGAGCUUGACUUACAAAUUUGGCUUCUUACCAUCCAUUGUUGAUCAUAUGGAAUAUGAUGGUCAUGCAACAUCUUCCUUGCUCUUAAGUUUGAGCAUCUUUUAUGGAAUUGUUUAGUGUCCAACAUUUACCAUUGCUUGUCAAGUUGUGAGCCCUCAACACAUAUGUGUAACUGUUUGGUAGAGGCAACACCGCAACACUACUGUGGGCUCACUGGUGGCUGAAGUUACAAGAUAAAUGGAAACCAUAUAAUAUGCUAGGGGCCACUUUCAUUAUCAGUGAUUUUCCCAAUCAUCUCAUCUGUUAGAUUCCAGUUUGACCCAAUUUUGUGCACACAAAAUGAUGCCUCACACUGAGAAAUCGAAUAAAUGUUUGUGCUUUUUGCUGAAAAUGUUCUCUUUUGUAAACUGCCUGAACGUCUUUCUGCAACUGUGGUACUAAUGGUUUGUAAUCAUGUAUCAGUUUCGUUGGAGCGGAUGAUCACGGGAAUGGACACCACCAGAUCCAGUUAUAACUUGGAAGAUCAGAAAAUUGUUGUCCCUGAAUUGUGGCUAUGCAACAUCAUUUUUCAAAGGCGAGGGCUCUGUAUGGUUUCACUUUUUUUUUGGUUGAUGGGCUGGUGACUCCGGUAUGUUUGAUGCAAUAGCACCAAUAAUGUAUCAUUUCACUUAAUUUGAUUUACACUUCUGGUGAUGUUCUGUACACCCUAGUUUUUCAUAGAAAGCAUUGGAAGUCUGCCACAGCUCGUCCAAAACUAACUGGACCACCUCUUGCUGAAGAAGUUUGCUGUUUCCCGGUUUCCCCCACUUGUAUGAGCGAAAUUGUAUUCCCCCACUUGUUUAGAUGCACCAAAAAAACCAAAACUUUACAAGAUUUUCCGUCACAUUAAAUUUUGCGGCACAUGCAUGGAACAUUAAAUAUAGAUAAAAAAAUAACUAAUUGCAUAGUUUAUCUGUAAAUCACGAGACGAAUCUUUUUAAGUCUAGUUACUCCAUGAGUGGACAAUGUUUGUCAAAUAAAAACGAAAGUGCUACAGUGUCAAAAUCCAAAAACAAGGCCUAAGUGGAUGUGACAAUUGAGACUUCUACGUGAGCAUCAAUUUUCCUCACUGAAAAAGUGACAAUCAAUAGGUUUAUGUUUCUCCACACCUGCUUAAGUAUGAGCCGCACGUGCGCGGCAGCUGGACAGAUGGGCGCAACCAAAAAAAGCUCAAGGAUAAAGCUACAUCUGCAGUAGUAGAGUGGAACUGUGGAAGGCUAGGCUUCACAGGCGCACAGAAGGGCAAAGGAGACUGCAAUUGGAAAAAAAAAUGAGGAGGGCAGGAGAAGCCCGCACACAACACAAUUGACAAUCCGUAGCAGAGAAGUGCAGAGGAGAAUUCAGCUCAAACCCAAGGUGUCGUCGCCUUCGUCCUCUUCCUCCUCCUGAUGUCGACGUCCACCCUUUUUGGUAUUAUUAAAUAUAUACAAACUGCCAGCAGUUCUGUACACAAUACGUUGAGUGGAAAGAUCGUACGCAGUAAUGUUGUAGUACAGACUGAGCAUCACGGGGGCCGGCCGAUUCGUCUUCACCGAGCUUGAGACGUAGCGUCACGGCCGAGGGCGUAUCGAGAGCCGUUAGAGAUCGCGAGCUCGGCCACCUGUGAGGUUGUGAGGUACUGAGGUCUCUCUGUUUUCUCGCUCUCCUCGAAGUGGCUGGCACGCUUGCGGCGGGACACAUCGGCAGCCACGCCGCGCUAAAGCUCCUGCUCACGGGCUUCCGUCACAUCGUCGUUGACACGUGAGCCUCCUCGACGACGAUGAUCCCUCCGUCUCGUCGCGAUUUGGGGCGCCGUCCCUCACCUCACCUCUGGACACCUCACAAGCCCGUCUUCGGUGACCGUAAUGCCACCUGGAAAAGCGGCCUGGCUGCCGGUGGGUGCGGGCGGCGUCACGGGCUCACGGCCGUCGUCAGCCCGUCACACACGCUAGCACAGCUACUGCCUGGGAAAGGGGUUCGUUGUUGGCACCAUGGCAGCUCUGGUCGUCUUCCCGGUGGACAAAAACCGCGUUUUUCCACGGGCCACCGUCCCCAACAUUCGUCGAUUCCAACCCCGCCUCGCCUCCUCCUCCUCCUCUCCCUCUCCUCCGUGUUUUCAAUGGUCAAAACCCACGCACCUCACCUCCCCCGCAGUCGUCUUUUCCCUCCCCCGACCCGCGUUUCUUUAUAUUUCCCCCCAAUUCCACCACCACCAACCUCCUCUUCCGCCCUCCUCUCCCACCACCGCCCCCCCCGUCGCCUGCUGUUCCAUGAAGGACAACUAAUCCAUCCAUCCAUCCAUCCAUCGCUCAGCUAUGGCGCAGCUCGCGGUGCGGUCACUGCUGCUGUGCUUGCUCCUGGUCUCGCCAGCUGCGGCUUCGCCGGGUAUCGCGAAGCUCAACUCGUCGUCGUCCCUCUUUGGCAUCGAGUUCCCGCCGUUCAACACCGCCGUCGCCGUCACCGGCUGCGGCAGCAAGCUGGCUGCAGCUGAGGAGGCGGUGGCUGAGCAGAAGCAGCCGGCGAGCCUGUCCCCGUCGCUGAAGCUGCACAUGAACCGCCGCGCUGCCGAGGGGGGCAGGACACGGAAAGAGUCCGUUUUAGAUUUGGCCGAUAAGGACGCCGUCCGCAUCGAGACGAUGCACCGGAGAGCGGCGCGCUCCGGCGGGGACCGGACGCCGGCGUCUCCGUCUUCGUCUCCGCGGCGGGCGCUGUCGGAGCGGAUGGUGGCGACGGUGGAGUCCGGCGUGGCGGUUGGGUCCGGCGAGUACCUGAUGGACGUCUACGUCGGCACGCCGCCGCGGCGUUUCCGGAUGAUCAUGGACACCGGCAGCGACCUCAACUGGCUGCAGUGCGCGCCGUGCCUGGACUGCUUCGACCAGGUUGGCCCCGUGUUCGACCCCGCCGCGUCCUCCUCCUACCGCAACGUCACCUGCGGCGACCAGCGCUGCGGCCUCGUGGCGCCGCCCGAGCCACCAAGGGCGUGCCGCCGCCCCGGGGAGGACUCCUGCCCCUACUACUACUGGUACGGGGACCAGUCCAACACCACCGGCGACCUGGCCCUGGAGUCCUUCACGGUCAACCUCACGGCCCCCGGCGCGUCUCGCCGCGUGGACGACGUCGUGUUCGGGUGCGGCCACUGGAACCGCGGCCUCUUCCACGGCGCGGCGGGCCUGCUGGGCCUCGGCCGUGGCCCGCUGUCGUUCGCGUCCCAGCUCCGCGCCGUGUACGGCCACACCUUCUCCUACUGCCUGGUGGACCACGGCAGCGACGUCGCUAGCAAGGUGGUGUUCGGGGAGGACGACGCGCUGGCGCUGGCGGCGGCGCACCCGCAGCUCAACUACACGGCGUUCGCGCCCGCGUCGUCGCCGGCGGACACGUUCUACUACGUGAAGCUCAAGGGCGUGCUGGUGGGCGGCGAGCUGCUCAACAUCAGCUCCGACACGUGGGGUGUGGGCGAGGGCGAGGGCGGAUCCGGCGGCACCAUCAUCGACUCCGGCACCACGCUGAGCUACUUCGUGGAGCCGGCGUACCAGGUGAUCCGGCAAGCCUUCAUCGAUCGCAUGGGCAGGUCGUACCCUCUGAUCCCGGACUUCCCGGUGCUGAGCCCGUGCUACAACGUGUCUGGCGUGGACCGGCCGGAGGUGCCGGAGCUGUCGCUGUUGUUCGCCGACGGCGCCGUGUGGGACUUCCCCGCCGAGAACUACUUCAUCCGGCUGGACCCGGACGGCAUCAUGUGCCUGGCGGUCCUGGGCACGCCGCGGACCGGCAUGUCCAUCAUCGGUAACUUCCAGCAGCAGAACUUCCACGUCGUCUACGACCUGAAGAACAACCGGCUGGGCUUCGCGCCGCGGCGGUGCGCCGAGGUGUAGCCGCCGGCGAGGCCUGCCUGAGAGGACCAACGAUUCGAACUCGGUCCUCGGUUUGAUUGAUUGGAUUGGGAGGCAAAUUGGGUGUAGAAAUUUUCGGUCGGUGGCACGUACGCAAAGCUCUAGCACAAAGUUUUUUUGUUGUUGUUGCACUUAUUAUCUCCAAGGAGAGAAGGUUAGGAAUAUUGUAGUACUAGGAUCAUGUCCGGGAAAAUACCUAUCCUGGCCCCGUGUCAAUGCCCAUUUGGUCACUUGAAUUGAAUUAUAGAAAUUGUAAUUAUAAGUUGUACAUCAAGAAUGCAUAGUGCACACAAACUUUUUUUUUCUUUCAAGUAAUUGCUCACGAACAUGUGAUGUACAACAACAGAAUAGAUUUCAUCUUUAAGAAGAGCAUGCUGCAUGCCCAGGUUGUUCUUGUAUCGAGUAGAUAUUUCAAAACUAUCUAGAGUCCAAAGAACUUGAUAAAUAAAUUCUUAUGGAGCCUGUGUAAUUUUCUUCUUCCAUUUGGUGCAGUUGAUAAAUAAAUCCUUCCGUAGCCUGUGCAAUUUUCUUUUCUCAUUUGGUGCAAUUAGUGUUGUCAAUAGUACCUGCAUGUGUUCAAAAAUAAAUCCUUCACUGUUGAGGUCGUACAAGGUUUUCUUCAAAGACCAGGCAACUCUUUCAACCCUAGAAAAUUCAUCAAGUGCUUGCUGACGAGAGCAUUGUAAGCAGAGAUGCCAACGUCAGUUCACACAAGGGUAAAGGGAUGUGAGUCCUCUCUAUGAGAUUGCUCACAAGAGACUGAAACUUAUGUCUGAUCAAGGUCAUGUUGAAGUGCUUUCCACUAGAAGUAUCAACAAUGAUAAAUGGGACAUAGAUUUCAGUCUGCAUAGUGGAGGAAAACUAAACCUUAGCCUUCUCAGUAGCUUCCUUGUGCCUUUGCAGUGCUAACUUGUCCUCGCUCAUAGUCAAGCAAUGCACCAUAAAAAUCUGCGCCACCAACGAAAGUAUCAACAUUGGUUGCCUUGACCUAAAAAGGUGACGAAAUUAAGAAUUACAACAUCUAUCUCAACACCUGCAUAGAGAAUCUGUACAAGAUAUGAGAAGUAGAUUACCUCAACACUCCAUUGAUAACUCAACAAUUGACACAUUCAGAGGUACAUUCAGAAGGUACAUGCACCGAACCCUGGUGUUGGCAAUAUGUUAUGGUCUUUUUAAAAGUAGAGACUUUUUUUUUGAAAGACACUAUGCCAGAGCACUUGUGCUUACUGCCGAAUCUACUAGCCAUUUAACAAUGUUUUUCUUUCAUAACAAAUCAGCGAAUAAUACUUUCAGUCAUGACUUAUCAGCUAAACAAACAGGCUUAGAUCAAACCGUUCAAGGCAGCAGCAAAGCAUGCACACAACAUUAGUAUCCUCGUAAAAAGUUACCUUCCAUGUAGGAGAGCUACCAGUGAAGCUAAGGCCUUGUUUAGUUCGCAAAAACUUUUGGUUCGAAAUACUGUAGUACUUUCGUUUUUAUUUGACAAAUAUUGUCUAAUUAUAGAGUAACUAGACUCAAAAGAUUCAUCUCGCGGUUUACAGACAAAUUGUGUAUUUAGUUUUUAUUUUCAUCUAUAUUUAAUACUCCAUGCAUGUGUCGCAAGAUUCGAUGUGACGAAGAAUCUUGAAAAUUUUUUGAGUUUUUGGAUGAACUGAAAAGGCCUAACCUAGGCACACUGCCAUCUUCUGUCCCUUUGGUUCCACCAUUAUCCCUGAAUCUUUGGCUUUGUUUAGUUCACGAAAAAUUUUGGGUUUUAAUACGGUAGCACUUUCGGUUUCACUUGACAAUUAUUAUUCAAUUAUAGACUAACUAGACUUAAAAGAUUCAACAUCAAAUGGAGUUGCACAUCCGUUGGACUUUAAUUUUUGCCAUAAAAAUAUAAAAAUAACCUAGAUAACAUAGAUAACAUAUCUAUUGGAGUUGCUCUAAAGUUCCAAACACAUUAACUAAAAGAAACUAAAAUAGUUUAGUUCCAUUAGUCACUUAAGAAUAGCUAAAAUAAUAUAAUUUUAGAAUUUAGCAACGGUAACCAGAGCCUUAGUUAAAUUUGAACUAGUUUGACUCACGCGAUUUCUGUAAUUGUUUCUGCUGCUUUGGCGUGCCCCCCUCCCGCGCCGCUGCCGAUCUCUUUCGCUUCCCCGUCCGCCGCCGCUCGCUCCACCCCUCCGACGGCGCGCUCGCCACCUCGCCCGCCGCCGCGACUUACCCGCUGCGCGCGCGCGCAUUCAGGAGUUUCCCACCGCUCUCGGGCCCGUCACGCUCGACGCCUAUCUCCAGCAGCUCGCUAGAGCCGGGCGCCUAACGGACGCUGUCAAAGUGUUCGACGAAUUGCCGGUGCAGUUCCGUAACCAUGACACUUUGCUGGUCUCCUCGCUUUCUGCCGGGAGCUACCCCUUGCACGCAGAGCGUGCUGCGAAGAAGGUCGCCAACGAGAUCUUCCCGGAUGACAAUAUCUGUACUUUGCUGGUAUCUGGCCAAUAUGCUGGUAAGCUCGACCGUGCACUAAGGUUGGUUGGUGAGACAUGUAGAGGUCGGUUGCAGCCAGGAUUGUAUGUACACAUUGCUGUUCUUGGUUGUGUCUGCCGGCUCUGUCACAAGGACCCACUGAGGAUGCCCAUGGAAGCAGAUAAGUUCUUAGUUGACAUGGAAGCCAAUGGCAUUCCCCGUGAUGCAGGGACAUUUCGGGUUCUUAUCACAAUUUUUUUCAAGAUCCACAAGACAGAGGAUGCCAUGAAUCUGUUCCAGCAUACUAUAGGUGAGUGGGACUGCUCAGAGGAGCUGAGAGCCUGAGACGUACUUGGUGCUCAUCAGCAGCUUGUACCAAGCUGCUCGAACUUCAGAGGGGGAUGAGAUGAUGACAUCGUUGUGGUAAGGAUUUGGAGAUAAACUUGAUAGGAAGGCAUAUUGCGGAUUCAUCAAGAUCUUAUGUGGGAUUGAGAGGGUUGAACAUGCUAUUCUGUAUGGUGAAAGGUUAUGGGCGUGCUCCUGGAGUAAAAUCAUAUAGCUUGCUCAUUGAGAAGCUGGCUGGGCACAAUUUAGGGGAUCGUUCCAAUGCACUGUUCAGGGAGGCCAUUGCACGUGGUGUAGCUGUGCAGAAUGAGAGUAUAAAUUGACAAAAGGUAUGUUAAGGCAAAGGAGGAGUGAAGAAAAGGCUGACUCUGCCACAGAAGAUGAGAUUGAAGAGCAAGAGGUUAUACAAGCUCAGAAUGAGCUUUGUCAAGAAGCCCAAGCGUCGAAUGCUCCAGGCUUAAGCAGAAUUUGGGUAUUCCCAUAGUCAUGCUGAUUUCAUUACUCGUUCAUAAAUCAUAAUACUAUCUUUGCUUCAGCAUUUGCCAUGUCGAUCGUGAUCUUUUCUGAGAAUCAGUUUGUCAUUCUUUGUUAAUCAUUUUAUCCUGCGCUACUGUCACUAUAUCUUACUUCAUCACACUUGAAUUAUAGAAGCACAAUAAAAUCAUUUCCCCCCAAAGGUUCUAGUAUGCAGAUUCAAAACUCUGUUUAGAAUAUUGGCACAUUCAAAAACGAUUUAUAAGGAAAAACCUAGUUUCUCCAUGAAUGUGUUUAGGAGUAUUGUUUUACACCAUUAUAGUAAGAUGCUUAUGAAAAGCCUAGUUUCUCCAUGAAUGUGUAUAAGACAAGUUAUAAGGAAAAACGUACCAGUAGAUGUAUCAGUGUGAUGCUGAAUAUGCUGUGAAGUCAAGAAAAUCUAGGAAGAAUGUUCUUUUGGGGAUGAGGGAAGUUAGCAUGUAUUUGUCUAAAUUGGGUAGUUUCACUUGAAUUUUGUUGCUGAGCUCGUAUCAAUUUUUUCUGAUCCAGUAACCACUAACCAGUAGAUCAUCGUUAUAACAUGGAAAUGAGUGUAGUUUCUUAGGAAAUUUUAGGUGCCCCAAACAUUGCUUUGUCAUGUUAUUUUUGUCAAACUGGCUAUUUUGUUAUUUGUUUAAUCCUCUGUAGUAGUUGCAUAGAUAAUAAAUAUUAAAUAUUGGCAUAUUCAAAACAAUCUGUGGUAAUCCGUGCAUCUGUGUGUGUGUGGGUGUGUUCUACUUUAAGUUCUCUUCUUCUUAAUGCAAUGAUAUGUAGCUCUCCUGCGUUUCGAGAAAAAAAGAGAUUUUUUGUCAAAUGCAGAUGCUUGGUAAAAUGGAUACUAGAAAUUUCAUGAAAACCACGAUGCACUGUUUACAAUCACCAAAAUUCCUGGAUCACUCCUUUGUUAGGACUGGAUGAUGAUAGAAUGUGUACGUAUAUAUCAUAUAUGCAAGCCUAUACUUGAGUAUCAAAAGCUUAGUUUGGUUUCAUGUUCCUUGUCCAAUAUUACCUGACUCUCUGCCUCCACAAAGCUAGUAGAAACUGGAUUUUUUUUGUUCCUCUUCAUUUAGAGCAGUCCAGUCUGCUGCAGAAUAGCUUCAUGGGAACAAUGCAGCUAUAUUUGUUUUAGAAAAUCAAAUUUUUUACUUUAUGGACCUUUGACUAUGAAAGUAAAGCUGCUUUGCUCAGGUUCUCACACCGGCCUGUGAAAUACGAGUUCCAAAUAACUUUCUGUUAUGUGUUGCUAAGGUUGCACUGAUACAAAGUUUCUUACUACCAUGCUGGCGUUUUGUUUUGUUACAUAUAGGCAUGACCAGAGCAUACUCCAUAUUAUAGGAGUGUUGGGUUGUAUCCAUUUUUUAAGCUCCCCUACGGCACCAGAGCAUAUACAGCAUAGCAGAUUAGAAUGUACUUAGCCCCAUCACUACAAGUCUACAUGUAGGCUCCUCCAACUUUCUGUAUUGUAUCAUAUCAUGAGCUUGACUUACAAAUUUGGCUUCUUACCAUCCAGUGUUUAACAUAUGGAAUAUGCUCUGGCCACGCAACAUCUUCCUUGCUCUUAAGUUUGAUCAUCCUUUUAGUGUCGAACAUAAUUCUCAUGUUUGUGAAGUUGCAAGUGCUCAACACAUACUCCUAUGUGUGACUGUUUUGGCUGAAGUUACAAGAUACUCCCUCCGUCUCAAAAUAGAAGGCGUAACUGUUUUUUUCUAAUGUCCUAGCAUAUAAGGCGCAGCUCUUUAAUCCAAUAGUUCACACGCAUGCAGCCAUGCAAUAUUUACUGCACCUGCACAGUUUCUCACCUUUCUAUUCACGCUAAUUUAAGUUAUUGUCUUUCUCUCUCUAGUGGGGACUGGUUGGCCUGCACUUAGCAUUUAGUUGAGCGCUGGUCUCCGUACACAUGUUACAAGAACCAAAGUAUCAAUUGUGAGAGAGAUCAAAAAUUAAAACUUUUCUUGGUCUGCGCACAUAAGGCAAUUGCGCCUUCUAUCCUGAGACGGAGGGAGUAAAUGGAUAAUGUACUAGAGGCCACUAUCAUUAUCAGUGAUCUUACCAGUCAUCUCAUCUGUUAGAUUCCAGUUUGACCUAAUUUUCUGCCCGCAACAUGAUGCCUCUGCACCGAGAAAUUAAGGAUUUAAAAGUUUGUGCUUUUUGCCCAAAAUGUUUUCUUUUGUAAACUGCCUGCACAUCUUUCUGCAAUUGCGGUAGUAAUGAUUUGUAACCAUGUAUCAGUUUGGUUGGAGCGGACGAUCAUGGGAAUGGACACCACCAGAUCCAAAUCAAGAUCAGAAAAUGGUUGUCCCUGAAUUGUGUCUAUCCUUGUGAGUGGCUAUGCAACAUCAUUUUUGGAAUGCUGAGGGCUCCGUAUGGUUUCACUUUUGGGUUGAUGGUCUGGUGACUCCAGUAAUGUCAUUACAACACGAAUAAUGUACCAUUUCACUUCAUUUAAUUGUACUGUUUCUAAUAGAAAAGCAUUGGAACUCUGCAACAACUCGUCCAAAACUAAUUGGACCACCUCUUGCUGAAGAAGCUUGCUGUUUACUGAUUGCCCCCACUUUUAUGAGCGAAAAUGUAUGUUUCAAUGUUCUCGAGUGCUAAUACAUGAACAUCAAUUUUCACUCACUGACAAAGUGGCAAUCGAAGAGUUUUUGUUUCUCCACACCUGCUUGAUUCCUGCGCGUCACAUCACGGUGCACUCAUGCAGAGAGACCCGUUCCUUUCCGAGAUUUCGAUCAGGUAGGUUAGGUAUGACCCUCUUCUUUUGUAGUAUUGUAUGCGACUUUAUUUAUACACUGUACCUGGUUUGCGUGCACUGGUUCCUCUUUUUGUGAGCUCUCAUUUCAUAAACCAAAUCUCGGAUCAAGCUGCUAUCAUCCACACCAUUAUAGAGGGUCUCUCUCUCUCUCUCUCGAUAACAUAAAGUAUGUGCUUCAGGGACGACCCUUUGGCACAGUCUCAUCUCCGGUGCACCCAGUCCUUCAGUGAGUGGCGACCGAAAAAGAUAUUUGGAAAAGACAAGAAAAUCGAAAAAAAAUUCGUUUUCACCUGUAUAUAUAAAAAAAAAUUGGCACCCAACGGGUCCCCUACUGGAAUUGCUGAUGUGUGAUUUCUUUUUCACCGUUACGCAAUCUGAAAAAAAAAAGAAAAUCAAAUCUUUCACGGUUUGUGCAAGAUGCUUCAGGCGUGCUGCUGCUGGGUGUGCAAGUGCAAAUCUAGGGGAGGAACAAUAACGAGCACGGGGUUCGCCCAAAUCUGUCGAUUUUUUAGCCGCUGCAGCGAAGAAUUUGACAGGCCACCAACCUUGGACCCUGCCCCAUUGUACCCCUGAUCGCCUCAGGUAGCUAUUUCCGUUUUUCCGUUUCCUCCCUCCCGGGACGCGGAAUGGACGGACGGACGGACAGCAGUGGAGGCGGUGACACUGACAGCGAUGGGUACGGCCCAGAAUUAUUGGGGGUCGCGCAUCACGUCCUUUCCGGCGCGAUCUCUCUCCUCCGUCUCUCUCUUAUCAGAAACAGGCUCCGGCGAUCGGCGUGCCCCUGACCUAAAAACACGCCAUGAUUCGCCGCUAUCUUGCUGCUGUUCCUCUGUUGGGUGGUGACAGAUGACUGGUUGUUGAGCCUCCGUUUCCAGAACCAGAAACUGCAAGCCGCAUUUGCGUGAUGCCACCAGGCCUUGCAUUGCAAUUUGCUAUCAGAUAAUCGGAUGGAUAUGGAUGGAAGGGAAGAUGACAGCUCUCAUGCUGUGAGCUACACGGAAGCUUGAGGAUGACACGUCGGUCAAUAUCUCCACCUCUGUUCAUCUGCAACUUCUGAUUGGCGGAGCCACGUAGCCUAGGGGAAUGCCGGUUUGACACCUGGAACGGUCCAUUUUCGUGAUCCCAAACUGUAUAAUACUUCAGCUACUGUCUUAAGAUGAGAUGGCCUCAUCUUAUCUCCAAGGACGAAGGGCGGCAUGUCAAAGGGAAGGGCCCAAUCUGAUGAGGCAUAUGGUGGUGUGGCAUCUUUUCCUUGAUGCCUUGUGAUCAACUCAUCUGGAAAAACAAGCAAGUAAAGUACCUAUGCAAAUUGCAACUGAUGGCUUCUUUAUUUGUCCAUACUCCCUUUGUACCAAAUUAUAAGUCAAAUACAUAAAUUUGUUAUGCACCUAGAUAUCAGCAGGGGCGUCCCAGAGCCCGUGCGGGCCGUACGACCGAACUGGACCCUAAAAUUUAUGGGCUCCAACAUUUACUAAGGGUUCUAAGUAUAUAUAUAAUAAUUUUAGGUUUCUUUUAAUUAGUAAAUUAGUCACAAACUCAAUAAACAUGGCCUGCUACUUCCCUCGAGACAAAGCACAUUGAGUCCAUGAUCGUGAGUUAGAAAAGUCUACGGCCAGUAAUUCUUCUUCACAUAAGUUUAUAACCCUUUAUGAGUUUGUGGUUUCAUCUUUUGGACCUGUUCCUCGCCCUUGGUGUUAUUCGUCGCUCAAGAGUCUGAGACCUAGUAGCAAUUCUAGACGACGAGUCCCAGAUUAGGACACCAAACGGAGAUCAUUGUCCGGUAUAAAUUCCAUGUACAAUCUCUAUUUUAUUUAGUUAAUCUUUUAUAUAUUGCCUUUAUAAUAUAUUAAUAUUAUAUUUUUUAUAUUUUAAUAAUAGAUGGUAGACCUUCACUUGUUUUGAACCGGGACGCCCCUGAUAUCAGUCUCGGAUUCUUAAAAACUCGUUUUGUCUCUAGUUUCUAAAACUUGGAUUCUGAGCCAAAAAAAAACCUAGUGAGAGUGUUUAGAUCCUCCGGUUUUUAAAAAUCUGACUUCAUUUAUCGCUCUAUGGGUAACAAGCUGGCAAAAGCUAACAACUUUCUGGUUUUUAAGAAUGUGACAAAAACUAACAGAAAAAAACUGACUUGUUUAGACCCCACCCACUAUUUGGAAACUAGAUUAUCUGGAGGGAUCCAAACAAGAUUCAUGUCUAGAUACAUGACAAAUAUUACGUCUAGAUACAUGGCAACACUAAUGUACCUAGAAAAAUAAAAUAACUAAUAAUUUAAAGCAGAGGGAGUAUUUCCUUCUGUUAAUGCGAAUUCGAGGCGAGGUAGGUAGGUAGGCAGACAUGAACACAGCACAACUGCUCGUAGUAAUUUAGGCCUUGUUGAGUUGAGAGAAUUUUUUGGUUUUGGCUACUGUAGCACUUUCGUUUGUUUGUGACAAAUAUUGUCCAAUCAUGGACUAACUAGACUCAAAAGAUUCAGCUCGCGAAUUACAGGUAAACUGUGUAAUCAGUAUUUGUUUUUGUCUAUAUUUAGUACUUCAUGCAUGUGCCACAAGAUUCGAUGUGACGUGAAAUCUUGAAAUUUUUUAGGAACUAAACAAUGCCUUACACUUUGGGAUCAUGAAGCAAGCGGUGGCGGCCACAUUGUACUAGCUGCACUGCAAGCAACUGCGGGGUGCGCGUAAAGAUCUGGGGUAGGGUAGCAUCAAAGGCAUGUUUGAUGGAUGGAUGGACCUCGCUCGCUCGCUCCCUCCAUCUCCAUGGUCCAUGCAUGCUGCCAUCUGCAUUUCUGCAAUACAAUGCCUCCUCUUCCCCAUCCUCUGCGUCAGUUGCAGAUGAAGACAGCAGCCCAAUCGUUUUCUCCAAAAAGAUGAGGAGGACCGCAGUCGCCCGCUGCAACUUGCGUGGGUUCUCUAUCAUCGGCUCGAUGCCAACUGACAAAAGCCCCCUUCUUCUAAUCUACCCCACGGUAGAUUCCGUUACUGAAAGCCACUAAGUCCAAGCGCAGGUGAAUGGAAACGCCCGAUGUUUAUUGCAGGAAGGAAGCUUAAUGAACAAUCUUUAAUUAAUAAUAAUCUUAUAAUCUACCAGGAACAGGCAGCCAGGCAGGCAGGUGGGGAAGCUGGGUUAGGAUAAGUACGAGAGGGCAAGCCGCACGUGCGGGGCAGCUCGACAGAUGGACGCAACCAAAAUUUAAUCAUCUCCGGGAACACAAAGAUAAAAGCCACACAUCUGCAGUGGUGGAGUGGAAGGCUUCACAGGCCCAGAGGAAAAGGGCGAAGGAGGGAGAUGGGAUUGGAAUUGGAAUAAAAAAAAAGGAAGAGAGCAGGAGAAGCGCGCGCACAACACAAUCCGCAGGCCGCAGCAGAGGAGUGAGUGCAGAGGAGACAUUCAGAUCAAACCCAAGGUGUCGCCUUCUUCCUCUUCCCCCUCCUCCUGAUAUCGACGUCCACCCUCUCCUCGAUUUCCUUUUCCGGGUUUUAAAUAUAAAUCGCCAGCAAUUCUGUACGCAAUACGUUGAGUGCGAAAGAUCCUACGCAGUAUAUGCGUAUGUAUGUGUGUGUGCGUCUGCGCUUCCUUGCUUCCCCUGCCUUCUUUUAUUCUCCUCUCCUUUGUUCGCUUGCGGGCUUGCGGCUUCGGGAAGGAGGAGAGGACGAGGGGCGGGCGGGUGGGCGGGCGAAUGCACAGUUCCGGUGAGUUCUUGGAAUCCGACCCGGCUCUUCUUGAUUCGUUUCCGCGGCCGUGAUCUUAGGGUUGGUUCUUGGUUUGGGCGCUGCUCGAGGCGGAAACACGAUUUUAUCCGGCGCGCAGACGCCUCGAAGCUCGAACUGCGAUUCUAACUCUCACUCGUGCUGUCGUGUGUUCUUGGCACUGCCUGGGACAACAUUGGCUCCAAAAUGCGGCCGAAUUGUUGGUGUUUUUUGGAGUGUGGUUUUGUUGCUGGGAAGGGGUUUUAGGGAAUGCGGCUAAGGUGCGCGCGUUUUAGUCCAUCAGAGACUGGAAUUCUUGGGGCGGACGGACCCGGAGUUGCGCAUUCUUGAUCCCGCUGCUUUCGCCCGCCAAACAAUGAUGCGGCCGCCAUGGCCUUAUCCGAUUUCUUUAGGGUUCUUUUCCGUCGGGAGAAAGUACGCGAGAAAGUGGGGCCAAAGGGAGCAGCUUUUUACCAGUCUUCAGCAUCUACUACAAUGGAUUGUUCGCCCGCAGUGCUUCUGCUUCUUUUUCACUUUUUUUGGGCAGUAAAGUAGUAUUUGGGUGCUUUUGUUGGGAUUGUAAAAAAUAAAGAUCGGAAUCUUUGAACUGUUCUCAACUCAAAUGAUGGUUGCUAGAGCUUUCAGUUGCAAUUGCUCUGUUUCUUAUUGAUCUUUCCUCAGCUGUGGUCCAGACUCCAGAUUUCUUCAGCUUUCUCUAUCCCUUGAGCACAAAAAGAAAGGCAGCUUCUCUUCUUUCAUUUUCAAUUUUAUUAUGAUCUUUGAUUGAGUUGAUGUUACUGCUUGUGCAAUUCCCGUGUAUAAUGCUAAAGAGUUUGUUUCUUCUAUACCAGUUUAGAGCUUCUGUUUUGACGACGCUUGAAACUUAGUGAAGAUCAUUGUCAUGCUUCCCGUGUGCAGCCUUUUCAUAUGAGGUCAAUUGCAGCUGAAUGUUGAAUGGGUCUUUUUGCUGAGAUGAUCGUGAAAUGAUUUAUGCGAUAGUCUGUUGGACGUCUAAUCAUGGUUAGGAUUGGGUUCCGAGGCUUAUCUAUUAAUUUGCUAUAGGCAGCCAGUAAGAUUUCUGUAUACAACAGCAAGAGAUUUCCCUUGCUCUAAAUUUGUACUGAAAUGUCAAAGACAUGAUUAUUAGUUAAAGCAAUAAUAGAUACCCCAAGUUCCAAUCUUCUUUCUUGUGGGCUUUUUUUAUUCAAUCUAGCUAGAUUUCUGUCACAGUCAUACUACACAGCAAAUUUAUGAUCCCCAAAUUGACGUGAUGCAAUCAUACAUGUUCAGUUUUUUAGGUGCUUUGUAGAAAACUUAGUCUUUUGUGGCCUUUAGGCGAGUUCUACAAAAUGUAGUACCUUUUUAAUCAUUUAAUAUAACUUGCAAGUUGGUGUUUUUAUUGUUGGUUCUGUUGGAAAUGAUUAGAAGCAAAACAUAAGUUGUAAAAACAUAUUCAGAAACUCUACUACGCGCGCGAUGGGUCGCUCGAUUGGGAAGCAUGCAACCCGUCACCCUCGUCGCGCUCGCCUCCUCCUCCCCCCCCCCCCCCCCCCCCCCCGAGCUGUUCGCUGAUCUAUUGUGAGAAAAAUACUGUUGGCUGGCAAAAAAAAGUACGGCUAUAAGACAAGCGAACUUGGCUAGCAGGAGAAUAUGGCUGAAAUUACUUUCCACUGAUUCUUUUUGCAGGAGAAUAUGGCUGAAAUUACUUUCAUUGCUUAUUUGCCACUGAUUCUCUUUGCAGGAGAAUAUUGGUGAAACAAUAACUUGACAUAGAGUUCUAGACCAAAGAAGCAAUGGAAAGGGAAUCGUCUACCACAUAUGAGCCAAAAAGGAACUGUGAAAUAAGGGUUUUUGAGAGUUCAGAUGAAAUUUCAACAGAUCUUGCUGAGUAUAUCUCGCAAAUUUCAGAAAUUUCUGUCAAAGAAAGGGGAUACUUUGCCAUCGCCUUAUCUGGUGGUCCCCUAGUCAGUUUUUUGGGGUAAUAUUAUUUCCUCAUAUUUAUUAGAUAUUCUACUCUAUUAUGUACUAGAAUUGUUUACAUAGUUUGCAUUCCAAUUUCUGAACUUUCUCUCCUUCAAUUACUACAAGGAAACUUUGUGAAGCACCAUACAACAAGACCCUGGACUGGUCCAAAUGGUACAUCUUCUGGUCUGAUGAACGUGCCGUUGCAAAAAACCAUGCAGAGAGUAACUAUAAGUUAACAAAAGAAGGAUUUAUUGCCAAGGUAUGUGAACUGAAGAUGCCUUAUUUUUCUUUUCCAUUUUUUGUCCGUGCUGCAGCCUAAAUAAGCUUAUGUCAAGAAUUUUUGUCAUUAAGAUCAGCUUAUUUUGUAUUGAAAUGGUGCUGUCUGUCAUGGUGUCACCUACUCUAUGUUUCCUUCAAAAGUGAGUUAAUUUGGCUCUAUUUUUGUUUAUUUUUCUGUACCAACCUGUUGGGCUAUGUAUUUCUAUAGAUAGGCCCUUGGGCUUAUAGCCCAUUGUCUGUGUUGGUGUAUGUGUUAUAUAUAUAUGUAUGUAUCAAAGACACAGAAAGUGGAGUGGUCUCUGGAAUUUUCCAUACCCCUUCAUGGUGUCGGAGCCUGGUUAGAGAGAGAGAGAGAGCUCGGCGACAGGAGUGACGGACUGGAUCUAGAGAUGUCCAGGCGCCUGAGGUUAGAUUGCCUGGCUGAGGAGUGCACCCGUGCUGCUCCUGUUGGUGGACCUGCUGCUGUGGUACCUCCUGCUACUGGUGCCUUGCUCUGUGGUGAAGAAGGAAGAGAAGGGAAAGCAUCCAGUGGAAGAAGGAAGCAGGUGCGUGUGUCAUCUCUGUUGGCUAUAGUGUGGCUCUUGUGUGGUUGUUGGAGAAAGGGUGCCUGCUGCACAGGGCAUAUAUGCUAUAUACCCUGGGGAUUUAGUUGAGCUAGAAGUUUGUGUGCUGCUUGGUGUCUCUUGAUAACAAAGGCAUCUUAUUAGUUACUGUUGUAGCUCAUACAUGAUGGGGGAAAAUCAAGGAAUUGAGCAAGUGCUUGGAAAAUUGGUAGAACUACUUACUGCAAAGAAGGAUGAGGUCUCAUCUUCAAGCAGAGAAAUUGUUGUUCAUGCUGAACCUGUCCAAAAGAUAGAGUUGAUGCCAAAUGAUGUCAAAUUAGAGGGCAUAAAAAAUUACUUGGCUUGGUCUAGAAGGGCACUUCGGUUGUUGAAAGCAAAAAAACUUGAAGGCUUCGUCAUUGGGGAAUCAUCUGAGCCAUCAGAUAAGUCAAGUCCUGAAUGGAGCACAUGGGAUGCUACCAACUCUCUGGUAGCAGCGUGGAUGUUGAGUUCUAUGACUCCGGUCAUUGCAAACACAGUAGAUACAAUUGUGAGUGCAAAAGAGAUAUGGAAAGCUUUGGAAAAGAUGUAUUCAGGUGUUGGAAAUGUGAUGCUGAUGGUUGAAAUAGAAGACAGACUCCAUGAUCUCAAACAGGGGGAGCGGUCGGUGAUGGAAUAUGUUGCUGAGUUGAAGAGUUUGUGGGCUGAUGCAGAUCAUUAUAAACCUAUCGAGUUGCCACACUCAGAGUGUGUGACAUGGGUGAAGAAGUGGAUAGAAGAAAAGAGAGUCAUUCAUUUCUUAAGGGGGCUGAACCCAGAGUUUGAGGCAAGGCGUUCUGCUAUUUUUCAUCAACCGACUCUUCCUAGCCUAGAUGAGGCCAUAGCUGCUAUUUCACAAGAGGAGUAUAGACUAAAGGUGAUGAGGGAGACUGCUACAUCACCAUCUCCUGCAUCCUUACCUCGUCCAAUUUUUGCAGCAACAGAAAUGAAAGAAAAUAGAAAGUGUUUCAAUUGUGGUGACACUGGACACUUGAGUCGUGAUUGUCCUAAGCCACUCAGGCCCAACAAUGGUAGAGGAAGAGGUACCAGAGGUGCUCUUAGGGGUGGUAGAGGCUAUGGAGGAAGAGGUGGCUAUAGGGCCAACGUAGUGGGUAUAGAAGAGGAGCUUUCUAGAGCAGCAGCUUCAUCGGUGAAAGCUGAAGAACCCAAACAAUGGAAAGAAAAAGUUCCAACUUCAUCAAUGAAAGACGAAGAACCCAGACAAUGGAAAGAUAAAGUUGAGAGCUCAAGAGAUAAAGAUCAAGUUAAUUAUGUUGGUGACUUCGUCAACUUUGCCUACAUAGAUGAAGGUAAUUAUGCUCAUGUAUCAAUGCCUACACGCAUAUCACAGUUAAAUUGGAUUUUAGAUUCAGGGGCAUCAAAGCAUGUUACAGGUGCAUCAUGUGAGUUUGAAUCGUAUAUGCAAUAUCCCCCCACACAUAAAGAAACUAUACAAACUGCUGAUGGCACAUCACAAUUUGUUAAAGGUGUUGGAACAGUUCAGUGCACUCCAUCUAUUAAAUUGUCAUCAGUUUUGCAUGUGCCAGCUUUUCCUGUCAAUCUAGUAUCAUUGAGCGCGUUAGUUGAUAAAUUGGACUGUCGGGUUACACUUGACCGAGAAAAUUGUUUAAUUCAGGAAAGGAGGACAGGGAGGAAUCUUGGGACUGCAACCAGGCAUAGUGGAUUGUGGUAUAUGGAUCGUGAGGACACAGCUGAAGCAUUAUGUACUGUGUUGGCUGCAACGAUAGGAGAGAAGGAAGCUAAUGUGAUGUUAUUACAUUGUAGACUCGGGCAUCUUUCUUUCAACAAAAUAAGCAAAGCCUUUCCUAAUGUAAUGUGUGGGGUGGAUAAGAGCAAACUAUUUUGUGAUGCUUGUGAGUUUGCAAAACACACAAGGACAUCUUAUUUGAGUAAGGGCAUUAGAAGUGCCUCCCCUUUCAUGCUAGUACAUUCAGAUGUUUGGACAUGUCCUGUGGUUUCUAUUAGUGGAAUGAAGUACUUUGUUACUUUUAUUGACUGCUUCUCUCGAAUGACAUGGGUAUAUCUCAUGAAACAUAAAGAUGAAGUGCUAAGAUGCUUCCAAGAUUUUUGUGCCCUUGUAAAAAAUCAAUUCAAUACACAUGUAAAAAUGAUAAGGACAGACAAUGGAACUGAGUAUGUGAAUAAGGAAUUCAGUACAUUCUUGUCGGCUCAUGGUAUUAUACACCAAACCUCAUGCCCAGAUACUCCUCCACAAAAUGGAGUAGCUGAAAGGAAGAAUCGUCAUAUUUUGGAGGUUGCUCGUUCACUAAUGUUUACAAUGAAUGUUCCAAAAUUUUUGUGGAGUGAAGCUGUUUUGACUGCUACAUAUCUCAUUAAUCGCACCCCAUCGAGGAUACUUGGGAUGAAGACUCCAUGCGAAAUGUUGUUAGGUGAGAACAAAUUUGUGGUUCCUCCUAAGGUUUUUGGAUGCACAUGUUUUGUUAGAGAUCAUAGACCUUUGGUGAAUAAACUGGAUCCACGUGCAGUAAAGUGCAUCUUUGUGGGUUAUUCCUCUGGACAGAAGGGUUACAAAUGUUGGAGUCCUAAUGAGAGACGCUUGUUUAUAAGCAUGGAUGUGACAUUCAGGGAGUCAAUUCCAUAUUAUGGUGAGAAGACUGAACUAAGUUUUAUGUUUGAGCCUCAUCUUAUGGGAACUGAAGAAGUUACUCGUGAGGGGGAGAACAAUGUCAUGGAAAAUAAUUUAGUUGAAAAAGUGUCGAGUAUAGAAGGAGUGAUAAGUGGUUCCUUGUCUCAAUCAAGGAGAAUGGGAGUGGCGAAUGAUGAGUCAGUCCCGCUUCAAGAAGAGAAUUCUCAAAUUGACUUGUUCCAAAAUAAGGAUGUCUCAAAGGUGUAUACAAGAAGAAAGUUUAGGUCCUCAAUUGAGGCAACCGAGGUGGCUCCAUCAGCUCCGGUGCAUGAGAGUAACCAAGAGAUAAUUGAUGUAUCUUCAUCAUCAGAAGUUGAAGCUGAGCCAUCAUCAGAUGAUUUGCCCAUUGCACUACGGAAAGGUACACGAACUAGUGCAGGAAUGCCUCCACAAAGGUAUGGGUUUGAGCAUGAUAUAAGUAACUAUGUUUCAUAUGCUUCUUUAUCUCCUGCAUAUAGAGCAUUUGUAGCCUCACUACAAUCUGUGAAAAUUCCCAAAGAUUGGCGAGAAGCAAAAAAUGAUCCCAAAUGGCAUGAAGCCAUGCGGGAGGAGUUGAGUGCUCUUGAAAAGAACCAAACAUGGGAUCUUGUCAAACUGCCUGCAGGAAAAAGGGUUGUCACUUGUAAGUGGGUCUUCACUGUGAAACAAACACCCGAGGGUAAAGUGGAAAGGUGCAAAGCUAGAUUAGUUGCACGAGGUUAUAGCCAGACAUACGGUAUCGAUUAUGAUGAGACGUUUGCUCCCGUGGCGAAGAUGAGCACAGUAAGAAUACUAAUAUCUUGUGCAACCAAUUUUGGGUGGCCCCUGCAUCAAUUGGAUGUUAAAAAUGCUUUCCUUCAUGGAGAUCUACAAGAGGAGGUGUAUAUGGAGGUUCCACCUGGUUGGUCCAAACCUGAAGCAAGUGGGAUGGUGUGCAAAUUGAAGAAGUCUUUAUAUGGUCUCAAGCAAUCUCCUAGAGCCUGGUUUGAUAGAUUUAGAUGGGCACUAUGUGAUAUGGGAUACAAACAGUGCAAUGGAGAUCACACCUUGUUCUACAGACACUUAGGGCGUAAGAUCACAAUGUUGGCUGUGUAUGUGGAUGAUAUCAUUAUCACAGGUGAUAAUGAAGCAGAGAUUGAAUGCUUGAAGAAGAACCUAAGUAAGCAAUUUGAGGUUAAAGAUCUUGGUCAACUUAGAUACUUUCUUGGUAUUGAAAUUGCUCGAUCUCCAAAAGGCAUAUUUCUGUCACAAAGAAAAUAUGUUUUAGACUUGCUCAGUGAGACUGGCAUGCUUGGGUGUCGACCUGCAUCAACACCUAUUGAUCCAAAUCACAAGUUAUGUGCUGAAUCAGGUGAUCCAGUGAACAAGGAGAGCUAUCAGAAACUGGUCGGUAAACUCAUCUACUUAUGUCAUACAAGACCUGACAUCUCAUACGCUGUGAGUGUUGUGAGCAGGUAUAUGCAUGAUCCUAGAAGUGGACACCUGGAUGCAGUUAACCGGAUCUUAAAAUAUUUAAAAGGUAGUCCUGGUAAGGGACUUAUGUUUAAAAGCCAUUGCCAUCUUAAUGUUGAGGGAUAUUGUGAUGCUGAUUGGGCAAGUAGUCUUGAUGAUAGGAGAUCAACAUCAGGCUAUUGUGUGUUUGUUGGUGGAAAUUUAGUGUCAUGGAGAAGUAAGAAACAACCAGUUGUAUCUCGUUCUACUGCUGAAGCUGAGUAUAGAGCCAUGUCACAAGGGUUGUGUGAGAUCUUAUGGGUAAGAAACCUUUUAUCUGAAUUGAAGGUGUUGAGGAAAGGCCCUUCUAUGCUACACUGUGAUAACAAAUCAGCUAUCAGUAUCGCCAAUAAUCCAGUUCAGCAUGACAGGACCAAACAUAUUGAGAUUGAUCGCUUUUUUAUCAAGGAGAAGAUAGAUGAUGGUGUUAUAGUUUUGGGUCAUGUGACUUCAAAUGAACAAGUGGCAGAUUGCCUAACCAAAGGUUUAGGAUUAAAACAGUGUGAGUUAGCAUGUAACAAGAUGGGGAUGAUAGAUAUCUAUCUCCCAUCUUGAGGGGGAGUGUUGGGCUAUGUAUUUCUAUAGAUAGGCCCAUGGGCUUAUAGCCCAUUGUCUGUGUUGGUGUAUGUGUUAUAUAUAUAUGUAUGUAUCAAAGACACAGAAAGUGGAGUGGUCUCUGGAAUUUUCCAUACCCCUUCACAACCAGACAGGGGUUGUAUCUUACAGGAGAUCCUCUAUACUGAUGGUACACCAGUUGCUUCCAUUAAUAUUGUUUUCCCCUAUACAUACCUAAACAAUGAAAAAAUUAUUCAGUGAAAUAAGAUGUUGACAAACUCUUAUAUACAAAUUUAAUAGCUGAAGUGAGUGUCUUAUUCCUUAACCUAAAAUGCUGUUUUGGUUGUCAUGUGCAAAGUUUGGUGCCCACUGAACUAUAUGAUCUGGUGGUUUCUUUUACUAUUGAGGGAUUUUUCUUCGUGACUGAUGUUUGAUUGAAGUUUUGAUGCUGUGUUUGCUCUUUGCUUCCCAUUUUUUUUAUGCUUUUGCGUGGAAGUAAUUGAUGUGAUUAUUUGCCACCACUUGUGUUAGAUCAACCUUAAGUUACAAAAAAAAAUUUCUUUACGUUAUGUCCACCUUGUUGAAGCUACAACCAUGAACAGAAUGAACACUGUAAAGUCUACAGAGCAAGAACGAACUUGUGUCAUACCUCAAUGUUGUUUUGAUAACUAAUAAGAGUGGAAUUUUAGUUUAAUCUAGCCCUGUUUAAGAUCUUAAUAUUUUUAUUGUAUGUUGAUGGUGAUGAAUGCAUGUUAUGAAAUACUACCAAUUUUAUUUUAUGACUAAUGUGUUUUCCAAAAAAAAAUUAUGAUAGUAUUAAAUUAACUCUCAAGGUGGGUCUGACUUACGUGAGGCUUUCUGAUGUUGUAUUUUCAGAGAAAAAAAAUCCUUGUUUCAACCAAAAGUUAGGAGUUUUUGGUAUUUCUGUUUCAGGACGAGGCUUAAAAUUAUCUAGAGUACCAAUCAGAGGGAGUCAUAGAUAAUCAAGAAUUCCAUGUGUGUUGCUUCGAUUCUUUCAAAGAGAAAUCAGGUCAAGAGUAGUGGCAUACAAUAUAUUAGCUCAAAAUCUAUGAUGCUAACAUUCAAUCUCUUAUUUUUGUUCUCAUUUAUCCCUAUCCAUUUUCCUUUCCUGUUACAGUAAAAAUAUUACUGCCAAUUGCAAAGCAGAGCACAUGUCAAGGUAUUACACCUUAGACACUGAUUGGUCUGGAUGGGUGGCUGGGCUAAUUUACAUUAUGAUGUGUCAUGUUCUUGCAGUAUGAUAUUUUUCAAACUUCAGAUAAUGCUAUAUCCUGUGCCAACUUGGGGGUGGGGACUGAUUAAGGCUGCCUAACUACCGCUUUAAUAGUUCCCUCUUCCAGCUACUCUGGAAGCACCCUGCACCAACCACACAUUUCCAUAGCUAUCCAUCAUUGCCAAAUGUCAGACAAAAAACUUAUCAAAAUGGUUUCUGUCAAUAUAAGGCUGGGUCUGAACUGGUCUUUCCUCCAUGCAUUAAUGUUCAGAUUUUUAGUUUCUAUUUUUUCUAGUCUAUAAUGUUUCUUAGUUCAAGGAGCUUAACAAAAAAUCAGUUUACUUUUUUGUUUUUUAAUCUCUCUCUAUUGGGCCCAUUUAAAUCUCUAAGAGUGCAAACUGUUUUGGUUGUCUAAAAGCUUUAAUAUAACCGCAGCAUUCCCUGUUCUGCUAGUGUUACUGUUGCAUGAGAUUUUCUCAAGUGUGUCAUUCAUGUUCUUCUCUGUGGAGUCUUCUGACUAUAUGUCUGAUUCAUUCUGUUCCCUUUCUUGCCAUACCAGUUACAAUGAUUCCCAUGUUUAGCUCAAGAAGCAAAAAAUCUGAACAAGAUGUGUUAGUAUCUUUGUAAUGCUUUUGCCAAGUUAACUAUCUGAUACUUGAAUGGCAUUUACAGGUACCUAUUCCGCAUGGCCAUGUCUACUCCAUAAAUGACAAUGCCACAGUGGAGGAUGCAGCAACAGACUAUGAAUUCAUGAUCAGGCAGCUGGUUAAGGUCCGCACAAUAGGAGUCUCAGAGAGAAACGACUGUCCCAAGUUUGAUCUCAUCCUCCUUGCCAUGGGCGCUGAUGGGCAUGUGGCCUCACUUUUCCCGAACCACCCUGCCAUGGAGCUGAAAGACGACUGGGUCACCUACAUCACUGACUCCCCGCAGCCUCCUCCUGAGAGGAUCACCUUCACUCUCCCAGUAAUCAACUCAGCAUCCAACAUAGCAAUAGUGUCCACCGGUGAUGACAAAGCAAAUGCUGUUCACUUAGCAGUUUCUGACACGACUGAAGGUCCUGAUGCUCCUACAUCACUGCCUGCUAGAAUGGUCCAGCCAACGGACGGGAAGCUGGUGUGGUUUCUGGACAAGGAGGCGGCAUCAUCCCUUGAGUCCAUGAACGACGACGAUGCUUCCUUCGACCGUCAUGAGUACUAACUCUGAGGAUCUGAGGUCGUCUUGAAGUGAAUGAACGGAGGUGUGUAAGUAGGUGGUGGCAUAUGAUGGAAGACGUGCUGUUUGCUCCCCUUUUAGCUCGAUGUAUGCAUUGAUUUGUCUGAGGGUUUAGUUCCGGGAAAUCUGAAAUUGCUCUUGGUCCUUUUGCUAUGAGAGGUGAUUGAAAGCGAGGAAAUGGGUAUGCGAUGUUGAGUCAUCGAAGAACAUCAGAUUUUAACUCUGGUCGUAUGAUAUUAUGUAGUGGAAGUUAGAUUUUUUUUAUUUGUUGGUAUGUCUUUCAUGGCGUCUUCUAAAAACAUUCUGAUCCGCGAGACACCAAUCCUACUGUUCUUUUAGCCCGGAGUAUGUUUCUUCCACUGUUUUUUUUUUUCUGAACAGGAGCUGAGGCUCACUCCAUAUAUUCUGUUUGUGGUCGAACGAGUGCCUAUGAGCUGAAUGAUACAAGUGUCACUCAGCCUUAAGCGCAACACCUUAUUAACGAUGCCAGUAGGCCUGACUUGCACGUUUGGGAGGGCUGCGCUCGCAGGGCUCGAGUGCCCAGAGUAAAUGAUGAUGUCUAGUUUUAAGGUUCUAGGAGAAAAAUCAGACUACAGUAAUAGUGUAGAGUAACUCCAAUAAUGAUAUCUAAAAUAGGGUUCUACUUAUGAUUUGAGAGCUUACGUCUACUUUUGAAGACCCUGUUUUCUAAAAUCAACUUCAGCAACCCUCAAUUGAUGACUCCUAACUUUAUGAUCCUAUUGAUCACAUAUAUACUCCAUCUAUUCCAAAUUAUGAGAUGCUUUAGUUUUACAGAUACAUGGCUUUUGUUAUACACUUAGAUAUACACUAUAUCUAACAUACUAGGGUCUAAUGCCACUUGAUCCAAAGGGACAUGAAGAGAGCAACAGUGGGCAACCGAAAAUAAGGACUCCCUCCAAAGCCCCGUGAAUAAAGGGGUGAAUUUAGCAGUCCUCUAUACUAAACUAAGCUUUAGUCAAGGGAGGUAGGAGUGAUCUUACAGUUUUUUUAGCUCCUGCUGCACAAUAAAGUCUUGCCUCUUCCUUUAUCUUGCCAAUGAGUGCUUCCGCUGUGUUAUGGCCGUCAUAAAAAAUUCGAAAACAAUACGCGACGAGUCAUGCGAUUGGGAAGUGUGUGACCCGUCGCCCUCCUCGCGCUCGCCUCCUCCCCCCUAGCUCCUUCGGUCCUUCCUUCCUCCUUCGGUGCGGGUUUCGGUGGCGGCGGCGGCACCGGCGAGGCAGGCCUCCUCCUCCUCCACGCGACCACACCCACAUCCUAGCCUUUUUCCCCAACUCCGGCUAGGGUUCCGGCGGUCGUGACCCACCCUUCUUCCCCAAAUCUGAAGGGCAUAGAAGGGGCUGGCCAAGGGGAGGCAGGCCAGCGGCUUAGGGGCCCUGGCCACGGUGGUGCUGCCGAGCUAGGGAAGGGCGGGGGCACCAUGGACGAAGGGGGAGGGAAAGAAGGCGGGUGCCUCGGAUGCUAGGGCUCACACGGAUCUGGCGAACCCUAACACCCACGUUGAGCGACACCAUGGCCAGAGGGGGAGGGAAAGAAGGCGGGCAUCUCGCGUGGAGCUCCAGCAAACCCUAGCACCCACGAUGGGGGCAAGGACGAGGAUGAGAGUAGGGUGGAGAGGUGGGUGGCGCAACCACUGGCUUGGAAUGGCAGGUGAGGAAGGCAGAGACAGAGGCUUAAGAGAUGAGCAGGGUCGCGUGACCCGCGAGUGCACGACGGGUUGUGCUUUAACAACCUCUCCCCCCUCCCCCCCCCCCCCCC
This 39874-nucleotide long non-coding RNA is filed under the name Sorghum bicolor (sorghum). Its description in RNAcentral is "long non-coding RNA (SBIC_LNC003866)". The record is from RNAcentral. Lineage: Eukaryota; Viridiplantae; Streptophyta; Magnoliopsida; Poales; Poaceae.